RNAcentral lists this ribosomal RNA (1405 nucleotides) under Nasatus davidouvrardi. RNAcentral describes it as "SSU rRNA". It matches the Rfam family "Eukaryotic small subunit ribosomal RNA", at positions 454 to 1763 of the family's 1831-position model. Lineage: Eukaryota; Metazoa; Arthropoda; Insecta; Hemiptera; Ricaniidae. The record is from RNAcentral.
GCACGGGGAGGUAGUGACGAAAAAUAACGAUACGGGACUCAUCCGAGGCCCCGUAAUCGGAAUGAGUAUACUCUAAAUCCUUAUACGAGUAUCAAUUGGAGGGCAAGUCUGGUGCCAGCAGCCGCGGUAAUUCCAGCUCCAAUAGCGUAUAUUAAAGUUGUUGCGGUUAAAAAGCUCGUAGUUGGAUCUGUGUCCCGCGCCGUCGGUUCACCGCCUGUCGGUGUUCAACUGGCGUGUAUGCGGGACGUCCUGCCGGUGGUGGUCCGGUUCCCCGUAGGUUCGUAGGGGUCGUCCUUGCUUGCAUGCGGCGUCCCCGAAGGCCUGCGUGGUGUAUCCGGCCGCCUUUUCGAUCCCGUCGCGGUGCUCUUCACCGAGUGUCGAGGCGGGCCGGCACGUUUACUUUGAACAAAUUAGAGUGCUUUAAGCAGGCCCUGUCAUGCCUGUAUGUUGUGUGCAUGGAAUAAUGGAAUAGGACCUCGGUUCUAUUUUGUUGGUUUUCGGAAUCUGAGGUAAUGAUCAAUGGGGACAGGCGGGGGCAUUCGUAUUGCGACGUUAGAGGUGAAAUUCUUGGAUCGUCGCAAGACGGACCGAAGCGAAAGCAUUUGCCAAGUAUGUUCUCGUCGAUCAAGAACGAAAGUUAGAGGUUCGAAGGCGAUCAGAUACCGCCCUAGUUCUAACCAUAAACUAUGCCUGCCAGCGAUCCGCCGAAGUUCCUCCGAUGACUCGGCGGGCAGCUUCCGGGAAACCAGAGCUUUUGGGUUCCGGGGGAAGUAUGGUUGCAAAGCUGAAACUUAAAGGAAUUGACGGAAGGGCACCACCAGGAGUGGAGCCUGCGGCUUAAUUUGACUCAACACGGGAAAACUCACCAGGCCCGGACACCGGAAGGAUUGACAGAUUGAGAGCUCUUUCUUGAUUCGGUGGGUGGUGGUGCAUGGCCGUUCUUAGUUGGUGGAGCGAUUUGUCUGGUUAAUUCCGAUAACGAACGAGACUCUAGCCUACUAACUAGGCGUACCCGGUAUCCACAAUCGUGCUACCGGCGAUCAAAUUUCUUCUUAGAGGGACAGGCGGCUUCUAGCCGCACGAGACUGAGCAAUAACAGGUCUGUGAUGCCCUUAGAUGUCCUGGGCCGCACGCGCGCUACACUGAAGGAAUCAGCGUGUCUUCCCUGUCCGAAAGGACCGGGUAAUCCGCUGAACCUCCUUUGUGCUAGGGAUUGGGGCUUGCAAUUGUUCCCCAUGAACGAGGAAUUCCCAGUAAGCGCGAGUCAUAAGCUCGCGUUGAUUACGUCCCUGCCCUUUGUACACACCGCCCGUCGCUACUACCGAUUGAAUGAUUUAGUGAGGUCUUCGGACUGGUGCGCGGAGGCCGCCUCGCGGUCUCCGAUGUUGCCGGAAAGAUGACCAAA